AGAAUCCUUCGGGAGGAAGACCAUUGUGACUGAGUGGCGGACGGGUGAGUAACGCGUGGGUAACCUGCCUUGUACAGGGGGAUAACAGUUGGAAACGACUGCUAAUACCGCAUAAGCGCACAGUACCGCAUGGUACGGUGUGAAAGACUCCGGUGGUACAAGAUGGACCCGCGUCUGAUUAGCUGGUUGGUGAGGUAACGGCCCACCAAGGCGACGAUCAGUAGCCGACUUGAGAGAGUGAUCGGCCACAUUGGGACUGAGACACGGCCCAAACUCC
Molecule: ribosomal RNA, 277 nt
Filed under: uncultured Lachnospiraceae bacterium
Lineage: Bacteria; Bacillati; Bacillota; Clostridia; Lachnospirales; Lachnospiraceae
Description: partial 16S ribosomal RNA
Rfam family: Bacterial small subunit ribosomal RNA
Source: RNAcentral